Long non-coding RNA from Dermacentor andersoni, 255 nucleotides. RefSeq lists it as uncharacterized. The record is from RefSeq and is a predicted model, not a curated record. NCBI's taxonomy places the organism in Eukaryota, Metazoa, Arthropoda, Arachnida, Ixodida, Ixodidae.
UUUUUCCGUGUGUCGGCUGGCGAUCCUUCAAAUCAAUGUCUCCUUUCUUGACGAAGCCGUGCGUGCCGUGCGUCGUGCAUAAGUGUUCCUCCUGCGUCUCCUUGGAUGUUGCCGGGUCUCCUGGAAAUUCAUCCACAGCUGGAAACCAAAAUUGUGCUUCAUCCCAGACCACAGCUUAUCUCCACAUCAAAGCCUCAUAUCACCAUUACAUCUCCAGUCUCACUCACGUUCACUCUGGAAAAAAAAAAAAAAGAA